Molecule: long non-coding RNA, 423 nt
Filed under: Coturnix japonica (Japanese quail)
Lineage: Eukaryota; Metazoa; Chordata; Aves; Galliformes; Phasianidae
Description: lncRNA (ENSCJPG00005021350.1)
Source: RNAcentral
GUUUAUCUGUAGGAAGAUGCAUUUGGCAUGGGCCCUGCAAGAACUUCACAUCCAUCGCUGGAGCUGGAGGAGGAGAAGGGAAAGCAAACAGUGUUGGGUGUCCUCAGCAAUUUCAUCACUCUGAAUAAUGAGCCUACAAGCUGGCUGGGGAGCUCUCAAGGGACACCUGUGUGCAGGAGAUGGACACAACACGCAUCUUGGAUGGGCCAAUCGCUGGAGUGCAUUUUCUCUCUAAUUUUCUACAUCAGUGAGAACACAGAGCAGCACCAUCCAUCAUCAUCAAAGUCAUCUCCAGAAGCCACCUCCUGCCUCUCCAUCGAGGGAUGCUGCACCUCUGUGUCCUGCAUGAAGGCCACAGGUGGUACAACACAUGGUGUUGCAGGUUCCAUCCGACUGGGUGCUCUGGCAGCCAAGGGAACAUGA